GGGGGUAUAGCUCAACGGGAGAGCGUCCGCCUUGCACGCGGAAGGUUGUCGGUUCGAAUCCGAUUACCUCCACCA
This 75-nucleotide transfer RNA is filed under the name Candidatus Omnitrophota bacterium. RNAcentral's name for it is "tRNA-Ala". It matches the Rfam family "tRNA". Rfam says of the family: Transfer RNA (tRNA) molecules are approximately 80 nucleotides in length. Their secondary structure includes four short double-helical elements and three loops (D, anti-codon, and T loops). Further hydrogen bonds mediate the characteristic L-shaped molecular structure. tRNAs have two regions of fundamental functional importance: the anti-codon, which is responsible for specific mRNA codon recognition, and the 3' end, to which the tRNAs corresponding amino acid is attached (by aminoacyl-tRNA synthetases). tRNAs cope with the degeneracy of the genetic code in two manners: having more than one tRNA (with a specific anti-codon) for a particular amino acid; and 'wobble' base-pairing, i.e. permitting non-standard base-pairing at the 3rd anti-codon position. Lineage: Bacteria; Pseudomonadati; Candidatus Omnitrophota. The record is from RNAcentral.